GGAGAGUUGGCAGAAUGGUAUUGCCCCGGUCCCGAAAACCGAGUGAGCCGCAAGGCUGUCAGAGUUCGAAUCUCUGGCUCUCCGCCA
Molecule: transfer RNA, 87 nt
Filed under: Betaproteobacteria bacterium
Lineage: Bacteria; Pseudomonadati; Pseudomonadota; Betaproteobacteria
Description: tRNA-Ser
Rfam family: tRNA
About the family: Transfer RNA (tRNA) molecules are approximately 80 nucleotides in length. Their secondary structure includes four short double-helical elements and three loops (D, anti-codon, and T loops). Further hydrogen bonds mediate the characteristic L-shaped molecular structure. tRNAs have two regions of fundamental functional importance: the anti-codon, which is responsible for specific mRNA codon recognition, and the 3' end, to which the tRNAs corresponding amino acid is attached (by aminoacyl-tRNA synthetases). tRNAs cope with the degeneracy of the genetic code in two manners: having more than one tRNA (with a specific anti-codon) for a particular amino acid; and 'wobble' base-pairing, i.e. permitting non-standard base-pairing at the 3rd anti-codon position.
Source: RNAcentral